UACGGAGGGUGCAAGCGUUAUCCGGAUUCACUGGGUUUAAAGGGUGCGUAGGCGGGCAGGUAAGUCCGUGGUGAAAUCUCUGAGCUUAACUCAGAAACUGCCAUGGAUACUAUUUGUCUUGAAUGUUGUGGAGGUGAGCGGAAUAUGUCAUGUAGCGGUGAAAUGCUUAGAUAUGACAUAGAACACCAAUUGCGAAGGCAGCUCACUACACAAAUAUUGACGCUGAGGCACGAAAGCGUGGGGAUCAAACAGG
RNAcentral lists this ribosomal RNA (253 nucleotides) under uncultured bacterium. RNAcentral describes it as "partial 16S ribosomal RNA". It matches the Rfam family "Bacterial small subunit ribosomal RNA", at positions 524 to 776 of the family's 1533-position model. The record is from RNAcentral.